This 253-nucleotide ribosomal RNA is filed under the name uncultured prokaryote. RNAcentral's name for it is "partial 16S ribosomal RNA". It matches the Rfam family "Bacterial small subunit ribosomal RNA", at positions 524 to 776 of the family's 1533-position model. The record is from RNAcentral.
UACGUAGGGUGCGAGCGUUAAUCGGAAUUACUGGGCGUAAAGGGCGCGUAGGCGGUUAUAUUAGUGUGAUGUGAAAGCCCCGGGCUUAACCUGGGAAGUGCAUCGCAAACGAUAUAACUGGAGUAUAUGAGAGGGUGGCGGAAUUUCCGGUGUAGCGGUGAAAUGCGUAGAGAUCGGAAGGAACGUCGAUGGCGAAGGCAGCCACCUGGCAUAAUACUGACGCUGAGGCGCGAAAGCGUGGGGAGCGAACAGG